RNAcentral lists this unclassified non-coding RNA (398 nucleotides) under Hevea brasiliensis (rubber tree). Lineage: Eukaryota; Viridiplantae; Streptophyta; Magnoliopsida; Malpighiales; Euphorbiaceae. The record is from RNAcentral.
UAGUGAUAACUAAGAGUUGAACUUAGAUUCUACAUUAAUUUAGAAGUAGAUUUCAGGUUUCUAUGUUUUUCCCCAUUGAUUGUGGAAAACUUGUACCGGGAAUAUUUCUAAUGUUGGGUGCAUCCUGCUUAGUGCUUGAAGCUUAAUUUAUGGCAGCCUUUGGCUGUUCUUUUAACUUGUGUCUAGGAUGGAAGAUGGUGACUAGUAGAGUAUAUUCUUACUUGUAGCAUGUAUCUGCAAGAGAAUUGCUUAUUUUCCAAAAUAUUGCUAGAGAUCAUUGGUGUCUUUUUGUGGAUUAUUUUUUCACAUUGAAUUGGUGUAAUAUAAGAAAAGGAACAGCUCUCUGCCUCAAAUUUAGUGGCAUAUGCAGUUCCUCAUAAUGAGUUACAGAAAUUGCU